RNAcentral lists this non-coding RNA (30 nucleotides) under Rattus norvegicus (Norway rat). Lineage: Eukaryota; Metazoa; Chordata; Mammalia; Rodentia; Muridae. The record is from RNAcentral.
CUGAAAGUCAAAACACUUUCUGAAUGGCCU